This 103-nucleotide non-coding RNA is filed under the name Candidatus Brocadiaceae bacterium S225. Lineage: Bacteria; Pseudomonadati; Planctomycetota; Candidatus Brocadiia; Candidatus Brocadiales; Candidatus Brocadiaceae. The record is from RNAcentral.
GGAGGAAGACCAUCCGAAGUAUGCAUACAGGUGCAGACUUUUAACUACCUUAUUGUUCUGCGGUCAAAAGCCGUGGUGCUGUGCGAUGAGGCUAAAUCAAGGG